GACGAACGCUGGCGGCGUGCUUAACACAUGCAAGUCGAACGGAAGGGCCCUGCUUUUGUGGGGUGCUCGAGUGGCGAACGGGUGAGUAACACGUGAGUAACCUGCCCUUGACUUUGGGAUAACUUCAGGAAACUGGGGCUAAUACCGGAUAGGAGCUCCUGCUGCAUGGUGGGGGUUGGAAAGUUUCGGCGGUUGGGGAUGGACUCGCGGCUUAUCAGCUUGUUGGUGGGGUAGUGGCUUACCAAGGCUUUGACGGGUAGCCGGCCUGAGAGGGUGACCGGCCACAUUGGGACUGAGAUACGGCCCAGACUCCUACGGGAGGCAGCAGUGGGGAAUAUUGCACAAUGGGCGGAAGCCUGAUGCAGCAACGCCGCGUGCGGGAUGACGGCCUCAGGGUUGUAAACCGCUUUCGCCUGUGACGAAGCGUGAGUGACGGUAAUGGGUAAAGAAGCACCGGCUAACUACGUG
This 468-nucleotide ribosomal RNA is filed under the name uncultured bacterium. RNAcentral describes it as "partial 16S ribosomal RNA". It matches the Rfam family "Bacterial small subunit ribosomal RNA", at positions 28 to 507 of the family's 1533-position model. The record is from RNAcentral.